RNAcentral lists this transfer RNA (69 nucleotides) under Labilithrix luteola. It matches the Rfam family "tRNA". Rfam says of the family: Transfer RNA (tRNA) molecules are approximately 80 nucleotides in length. Their secondary structure includes four short double-helical elements and three loops (D, anti-codon, and T loops). Lineage: Bacteria; Pseudomonadati; Myxococcota; Polyangiales; Labilitrichaceae. The record is from Rfam by way of RNAcentral.
CACCGCAGUGCUUGGUAGAGCACCAGCCUCGGGCGCUGGCGGUCGCAGGUUCGAAUCCUGCCGCGCUGA